This 465-nucleotide ribosomal RNA is filed under the name uncultured Klebsiella sp. RNAcentral describes it as "bacterial SSU rRNA". It matches the Rfam family "Bacterial small subunit ribosomal RNA", at positions 338 to 795 of the family's 1533-position model. Lineage: Bacteria; Pseudomonadati; Pseudomonadota; Gammaproteobacteria; Enterobacterales; Enterobacteriaceae. The record is from RNAcentral.
CCUACGGGCGGCAGCAGUGGGGAAUAUUGCACAAUGGGCGCAAGCCUGAUGCAGCCAUGCCGCGUGUGUGAAGAAGGCCUUCGGGUUGUAAAGCACUUUCAGCGGGGAGGAAGGCGUUAAGGUUAAUAACCUUGUCGAUUGACGUUACCCGCAGAAGAAGCACCGGCUAACUCCGUGCCAGCAGCCGCGGUAAUACGGAGGGUGCAAGCGUUAAUCGGAAUUACUGGGCGUAAAGCGCACGCAGGCGGUCUGUCAAGUCGGAUGUGAAAUCCCCGGGCUCAACCUGGGAACUGCAUUCGAAACUGGCAGGCUAGAGUCUUGUAGAGGGGGGUAGAAUUCCAGGUGUAGCGGUGAAAUGCGUAGAGAGCUGGAGGAAUACCGGUGGCGAAGGCGGCCCCCUGGACAAAGACUGACGCUCAGGUGCGAAAGCGUGGGGAGCAAACAGGAUUAGAUACCCGAGUAGUC